GAAGGUUUAUUAGAUGGUAGUGAGACCUGUGAUGAUGUAUGGUUUGAACUGAAAAAAGCGAGGAGGCUGAGCUGGAGGUGCUGAGCGAGAAAUAAGUAAAUCAGAGAGGCAGCUCGGGAUACACAGGUGUGGUUUGGACAUGCGCAGAGGAGGGAGAGUGGAUAUGAUUGGCGUGACAGAGUAUAGGAUAGGGUGAGAUCAAGUAGGAGCAGCGCCCUCUGCUGGUGUCUCCAGACUUGAGGGUCGGACCACGGUUUCUCCUCCUGUUUGCUUCGUUGCAGUUCUUUUACUUCCUGUCUGUGCAGGGUGGAAGAGAAGACUGUCAGCUGACACCCAGAUGAACAUCAGCCAGCUCUUGCUUGCAAAUGAGGGUCUGCAAGGAGCAGAUAAGGCACACCCAGCCAAGGACUGAGGGCACCAAAUCAACCAGGAAUUAAAAAAAAAAAAAGAAGUGGAGAGAGGAGGAAAUUCUCCUAAAGGAGACAACAAGACGUACAGCGUUCACGCCUUUCGUACGAGAUGCGUCGAGUUAUAUAAGAUCUAAAUAUGGCGCGGCCCAUUCGAGUCCGGCAGCACCCAAGGUCAGCGAGCAGGACGUGAAAUUGGAAAGGCUGUCUCGGCUCCUUGGGGAGGAGGCCCGUGCCGUGAGAUGGUCAGGGGAAGUCUCCGUGGUCCUCUUAUCUUCAGUGAGCACUGAACCCCACAGGCCCUCUAAGGCUAAUACAUCUCCAAAAUGACUCUCACCAGAGUGGCGCCGCUGACGAACAGCAGGUCAAACCACCCCGUGCAAUGUCACAGAGCCUCGACAGAGCCGACUGGAAGCUAGCAGGGUCUCUACAAUGUGACUGGCUCCUGUGAAGGCCUCUUUGAUUCAUCAACCUCGCCCGGUUUCACACGCCUUCCUCAAUCCCGGCG
Oreochromis aureus is the source of this 915-nucleotide long non-coding RNA. RefSeq lists it as uncharacterized. The transcript is spliced from 5 exons. The record is from RefSeq and is a predicted model, not a curated record. Lineage: Eukaryota; Metazoa; Chordata; Actinopteri; Cichliformes; Cichlidae.